AUAAAUUAUGAAUAAAUAACUCAUAUAUCCCUUGAAUAUGGCAAGGAGUUUCUACCGGAAACCGAUAAAUUUCUGACUAUGAGUAAAAGUAAUCAUGUU
Molecule: non-coding RNA, 99 nt
Filed under: Clostridium sulfidigenes
Lineage: Bacteria; Bacillati; Bacillota; Clostridia; Eubacteriales; Clostridiaceae
Description: Guanine sequence
Rfam family: Purine riboswitch aptamer
About the family: Riboswitches are metabolite binding domains within certain messenger RNAs that serve as precision sensors for their corresponding targets. Allosteric rearrangement of mRNA structure is mediated by ligand binding, and this results in modulation of gene expression.
Source: Rfam by way of RNAcentral